Molecule: transfer RNA, 71 nt
Filed under: Ilyonectria sp.
Lineage: Eukaryota; Fungi; Ascomycota; Sordariomycetes; Hypocreales; Nectriaceae
Description: tRNA-Gly
Rfam family: tRNA
About the family: Transfer RNA (tRNA) molecules are approximately 80 nucleotides in length. Their secondary structure includes four short double-helical elements and three loops (D, anti-codon, and T loops).
Source: RNAcentral
GCGGCUAUAGGUUAAUGGUAGACUCGUCGAUUUCCACUCGAUAUGUGUCAGUUCAAAUCUGACUAGCCGUA